AGAGGAAGUAAAAGUCGUAACAAGGUCUCCGUUGGUGAACCAGCGGAGGGAUCAUUACCGAGUUUACAACUCCCAAACCCCUGUGAACAUACCUUAAUGUUGCCUCGGCGGAUCAGCCCGCGCCCCGUAAAACGGGACGGCCCGCCAGAGGACCCAAACUCUAAUGUUUCUUAUUGUAACUUCUGAGUAAAACAAACAAAUAAAUCAAAACUUUCAACAACGGAUCUCUUGGUUCUGGCAUCGAUGAAGAACGCAGCAAAAUGCGAUAAGUAAUGUGAAUUGCAGAAUUCAGUGAAUCAUCGAAUCUUUGAACGCACAUUGCGCCCGCUGGUAUUCCGGCGGGCAUGCCUGUUCGAGCGUCAUUUCAACCCUCAAGCCCCCGGGUUUGGUGUUGGGGAUCGGCUCUGCCUUCUGGCGGUGCCGCCCCCGAAAUACAUUGGCGGUCUCGCUGCAGCCUCCAUUGCGUAGUAGCUAACACCUCGCAACUGGAACGCGGCGCGGCCAUGCCGUAAAACCCCAA
Molecule: ribosomal RNA, 520 nt
Filed under: Fusarium avenaceum
Lineage: Eukaryota; Fungi; Ascomycota; Sordariomycetes; Hypocreales; Nectriaceae
Description: eukaryotic LSU rRNA
Rfam family: 5.8S ribosomal RNA (bases 209-362)
Source: RNAcentral